RNAcentral lists this ribosomal RNA (914 nucleotides) under uncultured Bacteroidaceae bacterium. RNAcentral's name for it is "bacterial SSU rRNA". It matches the Rfam family "Bacterial small subunit ribosomal RNA", at positions 539 to 1466 of the family's 1533-position model. Lineage: Bacteria; Pseudomonadati; Bacteroidota; Bacteroidia; Bacteroidales; Bacteroidaceae. The record is from RNAcentral.
GCUUAUCCGGAUUUAUUGGGUUUAAAGGGUGCGUAGGCGGUUUGAUAAGUUAGAGGUGAAAUUUCGGGGCUCAACCCUGAACGUGCCUCUAAUACUGUUAAGCUAGAGAGUAGUUGCGGUAGGCGGAAUGUAUGGUGUAGCGGUGAAAUGCUUAGAGAUCAUACAGAACACCGAUUGCGAAGGCAGCUUACCAAACUAUAUCUGACGUUGAGGCACGAAAGCGUGGGGAGCAAACAGGAUUAGAUACCCUGGUAGUCCACGCAGUAAACGAUGAUAACUCGUUGUCGGCGAUACACAGUCGGUGACUAAGCGAAAGCGAUAAGUUAUCCACCUGGGGAGUACGUUCGCAAGAAUGAAACUCAAAGGAAUUGACGGGGGCCCGCACAAGCGGAGGAACAUGUGGUUUAAUUCGAUGAUACGCGAGGAACCUUACCCGGGCUUGAAAGUUAGCGACGAUUCUUGAAAGAGGGUUUCCCUUCGGGGCGCGAAACUAGGUGCUGCAUGGUUGUCGUCAACUCGUGCCGUGAGGUGUCGGGUUAAGUCCCAUAACGAGCGCAACCCCUACCGUUAGUUGCCAUCAGGUGAAGCUGGGCACUCUGGCGGGACUGCCGGUGUAAGCCGAGAGGAAGGUGGGGAUGACGUCAAAUCAGCACGGCCCUUACGUCCGGGGCUACACACGUGUUACAAUGGUAGGUACAGAGGGCAGCUACCCAGCGAUGGGAUGCGAAUCUCGAAAGCCUAUCUCAGUUCGGAUUGGAGGCUGAAACCCGCCUCCAUGAAGUUGGAUUCGCUAGUAAUCGCGCAUCAGCCAUGGCGCGGUGAAUACGUUCCCGGGCCUUGUACACACCGCCCGUCAAGCCAUGGGAGCCGGGGGUGCCUGAAGUUCGUGACCGCAAGGAGCGACCUAGGGCAAA